Molecule: ribosomal RNA, 333 nt
Filed under: uncultured bacterium
Lineage: Bacteria
Description: bacterial SSU rRNA
Rfam family: Bacterial small subunit ribosomal RNA
Source: RNAcentral
GAUGAACGCUGGCGGCGUGCUUAACACAUGCAAGUCGAACGGAGUUUACAUGUGAGCGGAGGGUGCUUGCAUCUAACAAUCUUUUGUAAACUUAGUGGCGGACGGGUGAGUAACGCGUGGGUAACCUGCCCUAUACAGGGGGACAACAGUUGGAAACGACUGCUAAUACCGCAUAAGCGCACAGCAUCGCAUGAUGCAGUGUGAAAAACUCCGGUGGUAUAGGAUGGACCCGCGUCUGAUUAGCUAGUUGGUAAGGUAACGGGCUUACCCAAAGGCGACGAUCAGUAGCCGGCCUGAGAGGGUGAAACGGCCACAUUGGAACUGAGACACGGU